This 397-nucleotide ribosomal RNA is filed under the name uncultured Flectobacillus sp. Its description in RNAcentral is "bacterial SSU rRNA". It matches the Rfam family "Bacterial small subunit ribosomal RNA", at positions 1 to 409 of the family's 1533-position model. The record is from RNAcentral. Lineage: Bacteria; Pseudomonadati; Bacteroidota; Cytophagia; Cytophagales; Flectobacillaceae.
GAUCGAGUUUGAUCCUGGCUCAGGAUGAACGCUAGCGGCAGGCCUAAUACAUGCAAGUCGAACGGUGAUAGCAAUAUCAUAGUGGCGCACGGGUGCGUAACACGUAUGCAACCUACCUAUUAUUGGGGGAUAGCCUUUGGAAACGGAGAUUAAUACCGCAUAAUACGAUUGACUGGCAUCGGUUGAUUGUUAAAGCUUCGGCGAUAAUAGAUGGGCAUGCGUCCAAUUAGCUAGUUGGUGAGGUAAUGGCUCACCAAGGCUAUGAUUGGUAGGGGAACUGAGAGGUCAAUCCCCCGACACUGGCACUGAGAUACGGGCCAGACUCCUACGGGAGCAGCAGUAGGGAAUAUGGGGCAAUGGGGCGAAGCCCUGACCCCAGCCAUGCCGCGUGCAGGAA